GGAACAGUCUUUUGAUGGACCCUCGCUCUGCACCUCACUGCAAGAAGGAGACUGGACACUGAAUGGCCUGUUGGUAAGGAGGAAGAAGACGAGGGCAGGGAAGAAAGGAACAGACCAACAGCAUCAUUUAAGAGGACUUCACUGUAUAGCCAACAUUGUUCCAAGUUCCUGGGAUCAAACACAGGCUGUCAGGCUUUGCAGCAGGCACCUUCGCUGGCUGAGCCAUAGUGCUGGCCCCAUAGCUCUUACACAGCACUCAGUUCCAUGACCCUGUCUCCCAAAUUGGACAAGGACUUCCAGAGACAAGGCAUUUUCUCUACAUGGGAUGCACUCUCUGGAGACUGUAGCCUGGGCUCGUGAAGCAUGAUGGGAAACCAUGGACAAGUGUAAGCCCCAUCAACAACCUUCAGACUGCUCCCUCAAAGGUCUCUAUGCAGUCAUGAGAACCCAGGAAUUGACAAUUGAUGGCCCAGGUGUCUCUGAUGGUCAGCCCUUGGACAAACCACUGUGUCCCUACAGCCUCUGUAAGGAACCUCUCCUGAGGAGGCUCUGCCCAAAUCCAAGCCUCAGCCUAUCAUACCAUUUUCACUUCAGUUUUACAGGAUUGAUUUUUUUUUUUCAAGCCCAGAGGGACUCUGAUUUCAUGGUAUAUUUUCCAAGACCCACCUUGGUCUGUAUAGAUGGUCACCAAUACAUGAGGAGUCACUGAAGAGCUUGGAUUUUGUUGUUGUUGUUAUUAGACAGUUUUGCUACUUCUUUAAUUAUAUAAGAUUACAAUAUAAUUACAUCACUUCUGCCUUCUCUGUCCUUCCUUUAAUAUACCAUAUACCCCUUCAUAAUCUUUUUUUCACUUUUUUUAAACUUUUAUUAAUUACACUUUAUUCAUUUUGUAUCCCCCCAUUAGCUCCUCCCUCCUCCCCUCCUGGUUCCACCCUCCCCCCCUUUCUGCAUGCAUGCCCCUCCCCAAGUCCACUGAUAGGGGAGG
Molecule: long non-coding RNA, 985 nt
Organism: Meriones unguiculatus (Mongolian gerbil)
Lineage: Eukaryota; Metazoa; Chordata; Mammalia; Rodentia; Muridae
Exons: 3
Source: RefSeq, a predicted model, not a curated record